This 496-nucleotide ribosomal RNA is filed under the name uncultured bacterium. RNAcentral's name for it is "partial 16S ribosomal RNA". It matches the Rfam family "Bacterial small subunit ribosomal RNA", at positions 38 to 507 of the family's 1533-position model. The record is from RNAcentral.
GGGGGGGGGGGGGGGGGGGGGGGUGCGUGGAGGGCGAGGGAACAGACGGGGAGGUUGCUCCUCUGGCGUUAGCGGCGGACGGGUGAGUAACACGUGGAUAACCUACCUAUAAGACUGGGGUAACUUCGGGAAACCGGAGCUAAUACCGGAUAAUAUAUUGAACCGCAUGGUUCAAUAGUGAAAGACGGUUUUGCUGUCACUUAUAGAUGGAUCCGCGCCGCAUUAGCUAGUUGGUAAGGUAACGGCUUACCAAGGCGACGAUGCGUAGCCGACCUGAGAGGGUGAUCGGCCACACUGGAACUGAGACACGGUCCAGACUCCUACGGGAGGCAGCAGUAGGGAAUCUUCCGCAAUGGGCGAAAGCCUGACGGAGCAACGCCGCGUGAGUGAUGAAGGUCUUCGGAUCGUAAAACUCUGUUAUUAGGGAAGAACAAAUGUGUAAGUAACUAUGCACGUCUUGACGGUACCUAAUCAGAAAGCCACGGCUAACUACGUG